GAUGAACGCUGGCGGCGUGCCUAAUACAUGCCAGUCGAGCGAACAGAUGAGGAGCUUGCUCCUCUGACGUUAGCGGCGGACGGGUGAGUAACACGUGGAUAACCUACCUAUAAGACUGGGAUAACUUCGGGAAACCGGAGCUAAUACCGGAUAAUAUAUUGAACCGCAUGGUUCAAUAGUGAAAGACGGUUUUGCUGUCACUUAUAGAUGGAUCCGCGCCGGAUUAGCUAGUUGGUAAGGUAACGGCUUACCAAGGCAACGAUGCGUAGCCGACCUGAGAGGGUGAUCGGCCACACUGGAACUGAGACACGGUCCAGACUCCUACGGGAGGCAGCAGUAGGGAAUCUUCCGCAAUGGGCGAAAGCCUGACGGAGCAACGCCGCGUGAGUGAUGAAGGUCUUCGGAUCGUAAAACUCUGUUAUUAGGGAAGAACAAAUGUGUAAGUAACUAUGCACGUCUUGACGGUACCUAAUCAGAAAGCCACGGCUAACUACGUG
Molecule: ribosomal RNA, 497 nt
Filed under: uncultured bacterium
Lineage: Bacteria
Description: partial 16S ribosomal RNA
Rfam family: Bacterial small subunit ribosomal RNA
Source: RNAcentral